GCGCGUAGGCGGGAUGGCAAGUCAGAUGUGAAAUCUCGGGGCUCAACCCCGAAACUGCAUUUGAAACUGUUAUUCUUGAGUACUGGAGAGGUUGACGGAAUUCCUAGUGUAGCGGUGAAAUGCGUAGAUAUUAGGAGGAACACCAGUGGCGAAGGCGGUCAACUGGACAGCAACUGACGCUGAGGCGCGAAAGCGUGGGGAGCAAACA
This 208-nucleotide ribosomal RNA is filed under the name uncultured bacterium. Its description in RNAcentral is "partial 16S ribosomal RNA". It matches the Rfam family "Bacterial small subunit ribosomal RNA", at positions 567 to 774 of the family's 1533-position model. The record is from RNAcentral.